Molecule: ribosomal RNA, 253 nt
Filed under: uncultured bacterium
Lineage: Bacteria
Description: partial 16S ribosomal RNA
Rfam family: Bacterial small subunit ribosomal RNA
Source: RNAcentral
UACGAAGGGUGCAAGCGUUACUCGGAAUUACUGGGCGUAAAGCGUGCGUAGGCGGGUCUUUAAGUCAGGGGGGAAAUCCUGGAGCUCAACUCCAGAACUGCCUUUGAUACUGAGGAUCUUGAGUUCGGGAGAGGUGAGUGGAACUGCGAGUGUAGAGGUGAAAUUCGUAGAUAUUCGCAAGAACACCAGUGGCGAAGGCGGCUCACUGGCCCGAUACUGACGCUGAGGCACGAAAGCGUGGGGAGCAAACAGG